GUCGAAGGCCGCAGACCGAACGCUUGAGAUCAAUCUUUGCAUUGGGUAGGACCGUAGGGGAAGGGCAAGAGCAAGUCGCUGAGCUGCCGACAGUCACCGCGUCACUUCGUUGCCUGAUGAACGACAGCGCGGCGCACGUCCGCACGUCGCUCGAGGAGCUCAGCUGUGUGGUGACCACCACCGGCUGGCCCAGCCUGCGGUUGCGCGCACUGGGCUGGCUACGGGGCUACCAAGUAGCCACCAACUCGGGCUACUUGGAGAGCGUCGGAGAGCCGCUCGGGCCGCAUACAGUGCCGGUGGACCUGCGUUUGGUGGACAGUCCUCCAGCCAACAAACUGGUGGAGGUCUUCGGGGAACUUCAGAUCGUCGAUGGGCGUCCCUGCAUCUUGGCAAAGUUUUUCAGUGAGGCGGACGGCGUGGAUGCGACUCUGUACCAUCGAGCUACGCAAAAACUGGCCGACCGUUAUCCGCAGAUUCAACGAUAAAACAGUGGAGGCCAUUUGCGCUCGAGGCCCUGGCACAGGGGUUUAAGAUCUUAAGUUUCUUGAGACUUGAGAUCUGUUGUCAUCGCCGGAAUGAUCAUGAAGAUUGAAGAAGGACACGACUCCACGGAACAAACAGCCACCAAACGGUUUCCAGCUCCAAGUCGCGGCGUAACACAAAACAAACAUCUACCGUCGGUUCGUGCACAAUAAAAAAGCCAGAGCAGCUCAAACCCGAUAACUCGCCAACGGAAGGCGAACGUUCUAUCAACUGAACCAACGUCUGACGGAACCACGUGCUAAGCUUCGCUCGUCAAAAUUUACGAGCUAAAAAGAUGAGAUGAGAGUUUGUUAGGUUAAAAGUAAAAGCAUCUUUUUUAAUACGAACCUGCCG
RNA transcript from Amphibalanus amphitrite, 876 nucleotides. RefSeq lists it as uncharacterized. The transcript is spliced from 5 exons. Lineage: Eukaryota; Metazoa; Arthropoda; Thecostraca; Balanomorpha; Balanidae. The record is from RefSeq and is a predicted model, not a curated record.